CCUACGGGAGGCAGCAGUAGGGAAUCUUGCGCAAUGGGGGCAACCCUGACGCAGCAACGCCGCGUGUGGGAUGACGGCUUUCGGGUUGUAAACCACUUUCAGUGAUGACGAAAAUGACGGUAAUCACAGAAGAAGGACCGGCCAACUACGUGCCAGCAGCCGCGGUAACACGUAGGGACCAAGCGUUGUCCGGAUUUAUUGGGCGUAAAGAGCUCGUAGGCGGUUCUGUAAGUCGGAUGUGAAAACUCAGGGCUCAACCCUGAGACGCCAUCUGAUACUGCAGUGACUAGAGUCCGGUAGAGGAAGAUGGAAUUCCUGGUGUAGCGGUGGAAUGCGCAGAUAUCAGGAGGAACACCAAUGGCGAAGGCAGUCUUCUGGGCCGGUACUGACGCUGAGGAGCGAAAGCAUGGGGAGCAAACAGGAUUAGAUACCCUGGUAGUCCAUGCCGUAAACGUUGGGCACUAGGUGUGGGGUCUUCUAACGGAUUCCGUGCCGUAGCUAACGCAUUAAGUGCCCCGCCUGGGGAGUACGGCCGCAAGGCUAAAACUCAAAGGAAUUGACGG
This 563-nucleotide ribosomal RNA is filed under the name uncultured Acidimicrobiales bacterium. RNAcentral describes it as "bacterial SSU rRNA". It matches the Rfam family "Bacterial small subunit ribosomal RNA", at positions 338 to 916 of the family's 1533-position model. The record is from RNAcentral. Lineage: Bacteria; Bacillati; Actinomycetota; Acidimicrobiia; Acidimicrobiales.